RNAcentral lists this ribosomal RNA (424 nucleotides) under uncultured beta proteobacterium. RNAcentral's name for it is "bacterial SSU rRNA". It matches the Rfam family "Bacterial small subunit ribosomal RNA", at positions 202 to 622 of the family's 1533-position model. The record is from RNAcentral. Lineage: Bacteria; Pseudomonadati; Pseudomonadota; Betaproteobacteria.
AAAGACCUUAUGCUUUUGGAGCGGCCGAUACCUGAUUAGCUAGUUGGUAAGGUAAUGGCUUACCAAGGCGACGAUCAGUAGUUGGUCUGAGAGGACGGCCAGCCACACUGGGACUGAGACACGGCCCAGACUCCUACGGGAGGCAGCAGUGGGGAAUUUUGGACAAUGGGCGCAAGCCUGAUCCAGCAAUGCCGCGUGAGUGAAGAAGNCCUUCGGGUUGUAAAGCUCUUUCAGUCGAGAAGAAAAGGUUGUGACUAAUAAUUGCAACUGAUGACGGUAUCGACAGAAGAAGCACCGGCUAACUACGUGCCAGCAGCCGCGGUAAUACGUAGGGUGCGAGCGUUAAUCGGAAUUACUGGGCGUAAAGGGUGCGCAGGCGGUUCUGUAAGUCAGAUGUGAAAUCCCCGGGCUUANCCUGGGAACU